GGGGAUGAUCGGUUUCGACAGCGGUCUUCGAUCGAUGAGAAGCGGGCCGAGGAUGUGUACUGACCUCGUUAACCAUGUAUGCAAACCAAUAGGUGCCGAACAGAAUCGCACCGACUUCGUUCUCGCCGCCUAAGCGAGCGAGCAAGUCCGUCAGUCCAGGUGCAGCUCUGAGCCUGGGUCCUGGCGUCGUUUUCAGGGCCACUGGGUUGUCGUCGCGUUAGCCGGCGCCAACCGACACUUAGCUAACUGAGCCGACCGGUGGUGAGUCUACGCGCAGCCGGCGGCCGAGAAAUACUUUUGUAGACUGCGCCCGGAGAAGCCCUCGGGGAAGCUCGUUGGACGCGGGUUCGAUUCCCGCCAUCUCCACUA
RNAcentral lists this transfer-messenger RNA (369 nucleotides) under Actinomycetaceae bacterium. It matches the Rfam family "transfer-messenger RNA". From Rfam's summary of the family: Bacterial tmRNA, also known as 10Sa RNA or SsrA, is named for its dual tRNA and mRNA-like properties. Its role is to liberate the mRNA from a stalled ribosome. The record is from RNAcentral. Lineage: Bacteria; Bacillati; Actinomycetota; Actinomycetes; Actinomycetales; Actinomycetaceae.